RNAcentral lists this ribosomal RNA (301 nucleotides) under uncultured bacterium. Its description in RNAcentral is "partial 16S ribosomal RNA". It matches the Rfam family "Bacterial small subunit ribosomal RNA", at positions 509 to 807 of the family's 1533-position model. The record is from RNAcentral.
CAGUCGCCGCGGGAAAACGUAGGGCGCAAGCGUUGUCCGGAAUUAUUGGGCGCAAAGAGCUCGUAGGCGGUCUGUCGCGUCUGGUGUGAAAUCCCGAGGCUCAACCUCGGGCUUGCAUCGGGUACGGGCAGACUAGAGUGCGGUAGGGGAGACUGGAAUUCCUGGUGUAGCGGUGGAAUGCGCAGAUAUCAGGAGGAACACCGAUGGCGAAGGCAGGUCUCUGGGCCGCAACUGACGCUGAGGAGCGAAAGCAUGGGGAGCGAACAGGAUUAGAUACCCCGGUAGUCCCUGUCUCUUAUAC